UGAAAAUUGAAGGCCAUCGCUGUCAAAGAAACACUCAUUUUUUGGUUCUUCAGGUGCAAAUCUCAGCCUACUCUUUUAUUUGUUACAUGAUCAAUAUUUGUUGCUGCAUCAUGCUCCACGAAAAAGAAAGGAGCAGAUGAGAUUUCCUUUGCUUACUCCAUUCUUGUAAGCUCAGGGGAGCAUAUUCUAAGAGAUGACGAAG
RNAcentral lists this long non-coding RNA (202 nucleotides) under Malus domestica (apple). RNAcentral's name for it is "long non-coding RNA (MDOM_LNC011885)". The record is from RNAcentral. Lineage: Eukaryota; Viridiplantae; Streptophyta; Magnoliopsida; Rosales; Rosaceae.